UGAAGCAUUGUUACUUUGGGAGGAAUACAAGAAAGCACUAUCUUGUGCACUUUGUUCUCAAAGUAUGAAGGGUGAACCUCGAAAGAAAAGAAAAAGAGUGAGACGAGAGGUAAAAAUGGACAAGUGUCCGACAGUAGAAUUAGGGGUACAAGAUACCCACCUGAGAGGAAAGAAAAAGAAAAAAAGAAGAGCAUCUCAUUCUCCUCACAAAAUUUCAAAAAGCAAGGAAGGUAUGUAUCCCCUCAAAAGAGCAAAAGUAGAAUUAGACUUUCACCAUUGUUAUCACCAUCAUCACCAUAGACCAUUCAUUCGCCACACAUGCACAUCUUGAUUUGACUUAUUGAUUUGUUUCUUUGGAUCCAUGGUUUGACUAUGCAAUAAAUGUCUUGUAAGUAUGUAUAUUUUAUCUCCCACCUAUGAGCUCCAGAUAUUAAAGCCUUAUUAGAGUAGGGUGAGAGAGAAGGCAAUGUCACUAUGCCUUAUACCACCAAUACCACAUAUCUUGAGAGAAGGCAUAUACCAUCACUGCCUUGGUAAGGAUCCAGAAAUACCACAAAAGAGAGAUUUGAGAGAAUCAUACAAGGAAUCUCUGAGUUUUAUUUUAAAAUUUACAAAAACUCCAGAGCUAUAGCUGAUCAAGAAUAAGAGACAUGGCACUUGACUAGACUGUUCUAUCUUUUAACUACUCAAGACAGAAGUGACGGUUACAAGCCCCAUGGUGAAAGUUAAAGUAAGUAAGUUUUAAGUCUUGACAGUUUACUCUAACUCAGAGAUGAGAUCUUAUUUAAAAAGCAUGUGUACCGUCCAUUUUUAAAGAUAUUGCAACAACUUCUGAUCCAUUAGUGAGUCUAUCCUUGCUUAGGGACGAGCAAGAGGAAAGCUUGGGGGAGUUUGUUGAUGGUCCUUAAGUAUCAAAUUUAAUUAACAAAUAAACAAAGAAAAGGAUCCAAAUGAAAUCAACAUCUAGACUUAAGGUUUUAUCUGACAGAAUUCCACGAGUUUUGGUGUUUGUCUAUUUUUGCAGGGGGUUAUCAGGGAAUAUGGAAGAAAGGCCCACAUGUCGGGAUUACAUAGAGAUAUCAAUGUGCCGCGCAAUUAUCUAACAUCUAGAAGACUCCAGAAGCCACGGGAAGGAAGCGGAGGCCGAACGGGGCCAGGCACUGGGCGCCCGCCCCCUGUUGGAGUCCAAACAGGAAUCUCUCUCGGGAAAGAUCUCCACCGACCUAAAGGAUCAAGGAUAACCGUUCAAUCAAUGUCGGUUUGAUCCAACGGCCCAUAUUCACUUGAAGGGACUAUAAAACCAGACCCCUUGGCCCCUGGAGGAGAGAGCCUCUCAACCCUAAUUCAUUAUUCUCAAGGGAGAAGAAGCCCCUGAUCAAUAUUAGAGCCACCACAUCAAUUAGACAUCUAGAUUAGCAUAGCUACACAGAAUUAGAACUAGAAGGAGUCAAUCUUCGAUUGGUUUCCGGAUCUGUCAAGAGGAUUCUUGGUAAUUCUCUAAUUGUGCUUCUAAUUGUUCUUCUAAUUAUCUUUGUUCUUCAAUAUUAUGAAUAUGACUUUGUUCUACUUCAAUAUAUUGCUUAUGACUUUGCUCAACUUGCUUAUAUUCAAGAUUAUAUUUUUCUUAGUUUAUCAUAGUUAUAUACUUGGCUUAGUUAGAUUGGAUCUAUAUACAUGUUUAGGAUCGUAUAGCGUUUAUCCAUCGGAUCCAUGGGUAAAUGAUAGAUAUUGUGUAGGCGUGGUGCCUAUAUCGUAUUUAUCUGCGAUUGUACCCAAUAUGCCACAUCGCGGGGUAGUUCGUGAUAGUGACAGCUUCAUUGAUUCUUAUAUGGUCCCCCUCUCGUGUAUUGGGCUAGCAGAGCAACAUUAUUACAGGGGAGUGAUUGCUAUGUUUCUCAUUACCUUGCUAAUAUCACUAUGCAUGGGCGUAGUCUUGUCUUGCAAUGAUUGCUAAGUAUCCUUGCACUAACUAUGAUAAUGCUAGACUAUAUAGUUGAGAAUAACUUAGGAAAUAUUCUUGUAGUUUGUUCUAAUACCAUGCUAAUAACUUUCUAGAAUAUCUAAUUGAGGUGCUUAUCAUAUUUAUUAUGUGGUUAGUCAUGCUGAUCAGAUUAAUUAUCUUUGUCACUAUUCAUUACUUCAUAUAUCUUUUAUGUGACACUAUUCUCAAUUAUACAUGCAAUGAUAGAUACUCAAUCUCAUAUUCUAUUCUGUAAUCAAUAUUGAUUACUAAUCCCUUCCCGGUGGUAAAAAUAUAAAUAACGAUACCUGGAAUACUUCCCGGUUAAAAUGCUACAUCGGUAUUAAUCUGUGCGCUUGCAGAUCUCAUUCGUUAUUUAUUUAGAAGAGCAAUUGCAUAUUUCAAUACCGCGUCUCUCAUGUCAUGCUAGGGAUGACAACUUGGCUUAAGUGGUAUGAGGGAUAGGUUUAGCAUUUUUGGCACCGUUACUAGAAUUAGAAAACUAAGUCUACUUUUGGUAAUGUUGUUAAGAAUACCCAACACAUAUCACAAGCCACAGGUCUUGUGGACAAGAUGGCGUCCAAUCAAGGCUGGAAUGAAGAGAGGACCCAGACACGCAAGAGAGGUGGAGGUAUGCAUCAGCUCAAGGAGGUAGACAUGUUGUCUGCAAAGCUAGACCUGCUCAUGAAGAAGCUCGAUGAUAGAGCUGGAGAUAAGAAAGAAGUUAUGCACAUCUACGACUCUCACAUGACUUGUGAGGAGUGUGGAGAUACUGGACACUCAGGCAAUUACUGCCCUGAGAUGCUUGAGGAUGUGAACUACAUCAACAAUAACAACAACAACUACUACAACCGUCCUCAACAAAAUCAAGGUUGGAUUCAACAGAGGCCUAACUACUCAGGUAAUUAUCAAGGUAACAAUUCUUACAACAAUAAUAAUAAUUUUCCACCUCUGAGAGAGUUAGUGUCUAAUCAAGGAAAGCUAAUGGAUAACUUAUCUAAGAAAUUGGCAUCUAAUGAUAAAAUGCUAGAAAAUAUAAAUAAUAGAAUGGAUAAUUUCUCUACUACCAUCAAGAAUCAAAUUAGCUUUAAUAAAAUGAUUGAAUCUCAGUUAAAUCAAAUAGUUGCUGUUGUUCCUGCUACUAACCCCGGUAUACCAUCACAACCGUAAGGAUUAGAAUCUGCAAAUCUUGUAGACAUGUUUGAUGCAGGUAAUUGGACUAACCCCAUCACUGAAGUUACUACUGACCUUCUGCCGGUCAAGAGAGGUGAUCCAGGACGCCCCGUCAUCCCGAUCGCCAUUGGCAUGGUGGACGUCCCAGAAGCACUCUGCGACUUUGGCUCUAGUGUCAACAUUAUACCCAGGGUACUCUAUGAAAAAUUCUUUACAUAUCCUUUAUUAGAAACAACCAUGUGUUUGCAGUUUGCAGAUCAGGCAUUAAGUUUUCCAAAAGGAAUAUUAAAGAAUCUUUGUGUCCGAGUUGGUACCUUAUAUGCCCUAGCAGACUUCAUGGUGAUAGAGACCGGUAAUGAUGAGAGAGCACCCAUUAUCUUAGGGGGGGCAUUCUUGAACACCGCGGGAGCAGUCAUCUACGCUAGUGCUGCCAAGAUCAGUUUCUACAUCAAAGGGAGGAAGGAGACAUUUUUCUUCAAGAACAAGACUACACAAAUUCCAGAUCAAUCUAGACGUGAAUCAAGGAAGAGGACCAACAGGAAGAACAGGAACAAGCAAGUGUGGACCGAGUCAGCUAAGAUGGUCACUGCAGUUCAUGGAGGUCAAGAUCAUCAACUUAAGUCACCGUGUCUGACCAAGAAGGAUGACCGAGGAAUGCCAAGCAUCUAUUGCUCCAUAAAUGGAUAUAACUUCUACAAGACGACUUGCGACACCGGAUCACGCGUCAACAUAAUGGCCGCAGUCGCCUAUCGGCUCUUGUUCGGAACCAUGCCCCUAAAACCAACAUAUAUUCAGCUCCAGAUGGCAGAUCAAACAUUUCGAGAAGUUAAAGGAACAGUAACUGAUGUCCCAGUCAAAAUAGACGAUCAUUUUGUCUACACAGACUUUCAGGUUAUUGACAUGGGAGAAGACGAGUACGAUCCACCCAUCAUCCUUGGAAGACCGUUCCUCAGCACCGUUAAAGCAAUCAUCUACAUUGGAACUAGAGAAGUCCAUAUGCACUUCCCCUCAGAGAAGGUACGUCGCUAUUUUACUGACCCUAACUAUAUCGUUGAAGACUCUAAGCAGGUCAGGAAACGACACAACCGCAACCAGAGGAGGCAAAUCAUCAAGGACGGAUGGGCAGACUAUGAAGGAGAAGUAGUAAGGUCAGAAGACAUAUAGUUUAAACAGAGCUAUCCUGAGGAGACCGUAGCACCGAGUCAGGUGUGGAGAGAAAAGAUAACUAUACAUGAAGAGGAGGCGCUGCCGGAAUUACCGACUACGUCACCCAACGAAUCCCAGGAUAAUUGAAGAAAACGGAGAGUCCCGUUCGGAGGACUUAAAAACACCAAACGUCUUGCCAAGAGGUAGACUUGGUAGUUAUCCUUUCCCUUUCAAUUAUUUAAAAUAGUUUGCUUAGUUAAUUAUGUUCAUACUAUCCUAUAAAGAAAAUAAAAAUGUUAAAACAGUAAGCCCCAUGUGAGUAUACGAGUGGCAUGAAACCCAUAAGUACAUUCACUGUGGUGGCAUAAAAAUAAAAUAAAUAUUUCUUUUCUGCUUUAUAAAAUGAAAAUAUAAAAAUAGAGAGUAACAUCUAUUAAGGAGUCUCAACAUGAUAAAGGCUAGAUAUUUAUGCUAACACUUAAUCAGUUCCACAAAGCUUUGUUGUCUAUUUGGGCUCCAUAGAAAUCAAGAAUCAAGAAGACUAGCAGACGGAGGACAUUCUAAUCGCUGUCAGAAUGCUGCUGACUUUCAAAUACACCUCUGCCACCUGCUAGCUACAUCAAAGGAAAUUACGUCAAAAUUCAUCUUGGGGGAGAGCACAAGCAUUUAUCUCGAUAAGUAUUUCUAUCUAUCUUUAUACUUAUAUUAUAUUAGAAUAUAAAUAUACAUAAACCAGGAAAAACCUAAUAAAGAUUUUGUGCCUAUAUAGAUAUAUAUAUCUUUUGCUUAGUGUGUUUAAUAAAUAAAUAAAGUGGCUAUGCUAAACUGGAUUCUAAUAAAUAAAACUCUAGCAUAGAUAUGAUGAAUAGUUGCUCUGCCUUAAUUGCAAAUUUGAAGUUCUCUCUCAAGUUUAGACAUAACUGUUAUAAUUUAAAGCUUGCUAUAAACCUGAACUUGUGGGAUGAAAACUUGAUCUGAAGUCUAAGUUGUUAACGAAUACGAUAUGGGAAGGUUGAGCUGCUGUUUAUGUGUUCCUAGAGAUGCUAGAAUUCUGGAGAAUUUUAUCUUUAAAAAAAUCUUUAAAAUAUUAAAUGAUGAGUUCCUGUAUGAUGAUAGUUUAAAUUCCUACCACAGCCAUAUAUACAUGUUUGCUAGACUUUGAGCCACACAUUUACUUUUUACUGCUUAUGAGCAUUGAGUGUGGUCAAGCUGUGUAGACACCUAGGAGCUUGUCAUGUGGUUAAAUCAAGAUUCACUUGCACGUUCACUCAUACAUGCUACUUCUACUCCGGAAGUACCAUCCACAUAUAUCCACCCAUUUCCAUCUCCAGAACCACCCAAAAAUAUUCUACUCCUAAUCCGGGAGAGAAUAGCCAAAAACAUUUCUGUUUUUCCCCUGUGAAAUAAAUGCUCAAGUUAUCUUGUUACUACCACUUGCUAUAUUAUCUCAAGAGAUGAGUGCUCUAAUAAAAAAAAAGAAGAGAGAAAAAAAGAUACGAGGAAAUAAAAAGGGGCAAGUUCCCGGAACCUCGAAAGAAAAGAAAAAAAGUGAGACGAGAGGUAAAAAUGGACAAGUGUCCGAUAGUAGAAUUAGGGGUACAAAAUACCCACCUGAGAGGAAAGAAAAAGAAAAUAUAGAGCAUCUCAUUCUCCUCACAAAAUUUCAAAAAGCAAGGAAGGUAUGUAUCCCCUCAAAGAGCAAAAGUAGAAUUAGGCUUUCACCAUUGUUAUCAUUAUCAUCACCAUACACCAUUCAUUCGCCACACAUGCACAUCUUGAUUUGAUUUAUUGAUUUGUUUCUUUAGAUCCAUGGUUUGACUAUGCAAUAAAUGUCUUGUAAGUAUGUAUAUUUUAUCUCCCACCUAUGAGCUCCAGAUAUUAAAGCCUUAUUAGAGUAGGGUGAGAGAGAAGACAAUGUCACUAUGCCUUAUACCAUAAAUACCACAUAUCUUGAGAGAAGGCAUAUACCAUCACUGUCUUGGUAAGGAUCCAGAAAUACCACAAAAGAGAGAUUUGAGAGAGUCAUACAAGGAAUCUCUGAAUUUUAUUUGAAAAUCUGCAAAAACUCUAGAGCUAUAGCUGAUCAAGAAUAAGAGACAUGGCACUUGACUAGACUGUUCUAUCUUUUAACUACUCAAGACAGAAGUGACGGUUACAAGUCCUAUGGUGAAAGGUAAAGUAAGUAAGUUUUAAGUCUUGACAGUUUACUAUAACUCAGAGAUGAGAUUUUAUUUAAAGAGCAUGUGUACCGUCAAUUUUUAAGAGUAUUGCAGCAACUUCUAAUCUAUCUUUGCUUAGGGACGAGCAAGAGGUAAGCUUGGGGGAGUUUGUUGACGGUCCUUAAGUAUCAAAUUUAAUUAACAAAUAAACAAAGAAAAGGAUCCAAAUGAAAUCAACAUCUAGACUUAGGGUUUUAUCUGACAGAAUUCCACGAGUUUUGGUGUUUGUCUAUUUUUGCAGGGGGUUAUCAGCAAAUACAGAAGAAAGGCCCACACGUCGGGAUUACAUAGAGAUAUCAACGUGCCACGCAAUUAUCUUACAUCUAGAAGACUCCAGAAGCCACGGGAAGGAAGCGGAGGCCGAACGGGGCCAGGCACUGGGCGCCCGCCCAGAUGCCCUGGGCGCCCGCCCCCUGUUGGAGUCCAAACAGGACUCUCUUUCGGGAUCAAUCUCCACCGACCUAAAGGAUCAAGGAUAAGCGUUCAAUUAAUGUCGGUUUGAUCCAACGGCCCAUAUUCACUUGAAGGGACUAUAAAACCAGACCCCCUGGCCCCUGGAGGAGAGAGCCUCUCAACCCUAAUUCAUUAUUCUCAAGGGAGAAGAAGCCCCU
RNAcentral lists this long non-coding RNA (7109 nucleotides) under Sorghum bicolor (sorghum). Its description in RNAcentral is "long non-coding RNA (SBIC_LNC015628)". Lineage: Eukaryota; Viridiplantae; Streptophyta; Magnoliopsida; Poales; Poaceae. The record is from RNAcentral.